This 496-nucleotide ribosomal RNA is filed under the name uncultured bacterium. RNAcentral's name for it is "partial 16S ribosomal RNA". It matches the Rfam family "Bacterial small subunit ribosomal RNA", at positions 29 to 507 of the family's 1533-position model. The record is from RNAcentral.
AUGAACGCUGGCGGCGUGCCUAAUACAUGCAAGUCGAGCGAACGGACGAGAAGCUUGCUUCUCUGAUGUUAGCGGCGGACGGGUGAGUAACACGUGGAUAACCUACCUAUAAGACUGGGAUAACUUCGGGAAACCGGAGCUAAUACCGGAUAAUAUUUUGAACCGCAUGGUUCAAAAGUGAAAGACGGUCUUGCUGUCACUUAUAGAUGGAUCCGCGCUGCAUUAGCUAGUUGGUAAGGUAACGGCUUACCAAGGCAACGAUGCAUAGCAGACCUGAGAGGGUGAUCGGCCACACUGGAACUGAGACACGGUCCAGACUCCUACGGGAGGCAGCAGUAGGGAAUCUUCCGCAAUGGGCGAAAGCCUGACGGAGCAACGCCGCGUGAGUGAUGAAGGUCUUCGGAUCGUAAAACUCUGUUAUUAGGGAAGAACAUAUGUGUAAGUAACUGUGCACAUCUUGACGGUACCUAAUCAGAAAGCCACGGCUAACUACGUG